AACGAACGCUGGCGGCAUGCCUAACACAUGCAAGUCGAACGAUACCUUCGGGUCUAUUUUCGCACGGGUGCGUAACGCGUGGGAACCUGCCCUUAGGUUCGGAAUAACUCCCCGAAAGGGGUGCUAAUACCGGAUAAUGUCUUCGGACCAACGAUUUAUCGCCUUUGGAUGGGCCCGCGUUGGAUUAGCUAGUUGGUAGGGUAAAAGCCUACCAAGGCGACGAUCCAUAGCUGGUCUGAGAGGAUGAUCAGCAACACUGGGACUGAGACACGGCCCAGACUCGUCGGGCAGGAGGCAGUGGGGAAAAGUGGAAAAGCGGCGAAAGCCAUAUCCAGCACUGCUGGGUGAGUGAUGAAGGCCUUAGGGGUAUACAGCCCUUUUACCCGGGAUGAUAGUGACAGUCCCGCGAGAAUAGGCCCCGUAAAUACCUG
RNAcentral lists this ribosomal RNA (431 nucleotides) under uncultured bacterium. Its description in RNAcentral is "partial 16S ribosomal RNA". It matches the Rfam family "Bacterial small subunit ribosomal RNA", at positions 29 to 507 of the family's 1533-position model. The record is from RNAcentral.